CCUACGGGAGGCUGCAGUGGGGAAUAUUGCACAAUGGGGGAAACCCUGAUGCAGCGACGCCGCGUGAGUGAAGAAGUAUUUCGGUAUGUAAAGCUCUAUCAGCAGGGAAGAAAAUGACGGUACCUGACUAAGACGCCCCGGCUAACUCCGUGCCAGCAGCCGCGGUAAUACGUAGGGGGCAAGCGUUAUCCGGAUUUACUGGGUGUAAAGGGAGCGUAGACGGCUGAGCAAGUCAGGAGUGAAAACCCAGGGCUCAACUUUGGGACUGCUUUGGAAACUGAGUAGCUAGAGUGCAGGAGAGGUAAGCGGAAUUCCUAGUGUAGCGGUGAAAUGCGUAGAUAUGAGGAGGAACACCAGCGGCGAAGGCGGCUUACUGGACUGUAACUGACGUUGAGGCUCGAAGGCGUGGGGAGCAAACAGGAUUAGAUACCCCAGUAGUC
This 440-nucleotide ribosomal RNA is filed under the name uncultured bacterium. Its description in RNAcentral is "partial 16S ribosomal RNA". It matches the Rfam family "Bacterial small subunit ribosomal RNA", at positions 338 to 795 of the family's 1533-position model. The record is from RNAcentral.